CUCCUUCAAGGCUUCAAUACCACCAGAUCCCAGGUAUUCGAUUUUUGGGCUGCGGUCUGCAUCUUUGGAUUCUCUGCGACAGUGCGACUCCUUGAACUCUUGAAGGCUUCAAAUCUUGAAUCCCUGAUGCUCAGAUUCUCAGGGUGAGGUGACUGAGGUCGUAAUUGGGAAUGGGUUGAUGAGAUUCAUUGAUAUUAUGCAAGUUUGGCUAUAGAGACAUCAAAAAAAUAGCCCACCCCAUUUUGAAAUCCUAGCUACGUCCCUGCCUGCGAGGAUGAUUUCUGUAGAAAUCGAGAAUGAAGCACUGAUGUCGACUUGAAUAUCAGUGGAUGGGAAAGAUUUAUGGAGAGGACUUUUUUCAUAUACUACUCUGAAAAUGCGAUUCGAAAUCUCUUCUUCUUCUUCUACCCAGAUUCCUCUGCUCUCUCUCUCUGUUGAUCAAAAAACCAAAACAGAUCAAACGAACAAAGAGGUGCAAAUAGCUGGUUCGGACUCUCCUCCAGAGCCUUUGUUAAUCAACACCACAGGUUGCCAACACCUGUCCAUGGCAAUAGAGUAAAUCCUCAAAAAAUGAAAGGGCAAAAGAGCAACGACACUGUUUAAUGAACACUACAAAACCCCAUUCUGCUUUAGGAUAGUAUCCCACGUAGCAACGCAAGGCCAGUAGGCUGCUCUACUGUUCUAACCUGCAGGGUGUCACUGUCUUCUACUAGUUCUGGCUCUGAGCAUGGGAAUCCUACAUGAUCAGUGACUGCAGCAGCCAAACAGUUUGUCAUACCUGAACUGCACCAGAAAUUGGACAUCAUCUUUCAUCCAUAAACGGGGCCAGAAUAGCAGUGGCUUUGCAUAGUUAAUUUUCACUCUUAUGCUCAAAAUUCUAGUUCCGAAAGCAGGUCAAUCAUACUCUUUGAACUCCCCCAAAAUACUGUCAAUCAAUCUCAUGAUUCGUUCCGAUCUGAAAGCUAGAAGCACCCCAUGCAGUGUCAUCUAAUAGAACGACAUCUUCAAAGGCAUCAUUGCUGCUUAGCAUCAUAGUCUGCUAAUGCAAUUGGGGCACUGUUGAAACCCCAUGGACCUCCCUUCCAAACCCUAGGCUUAUCUGCCAGAUUUGUGAAGGAGAAAAAAAUCCGGUCAUCUUCACCAACCUCCUCAACUCGGAGAGUACCAUUUACUCUCCAUGCAUAUAUGAACAUACAUAGAAAAGAGCGACGAGAAUACUCCCUCGCCGUGAGAAGCUUGCCAACCAAGAAGACUUCUGGUUGUCACAAACCCUUGGAUGGACAGAGGUCCACCAGUUUCUUCCCUUCUGCUAUGGCAAGGGAGGAUGCAAGGCGUGCUGCCAUGGACUCAAUUGAAGCCAUUGAUGUUAGAAAGAAGGCUACACAAAUGCAAAGGAGAAAAAAAAAAACCCUACCCCUAGGUUAGAGAGAUGCUGCCACGGCUAGUAUAUUUGUCUUAAAAUUGAGUUCUUCGAGUUUAGGUGGGAAAAACUACUUUUCAUCUAAACUUAUUUGUUCAAGACGCUAUCAUUUUCUGAAUUUAUUAAUCUUUUCCCUUUACUUGUAACUCUCACUAUCGACACAGUGACCUUUUGGUGAAAACUUGUGCAAAAGUUCUUACUUCCCAUCAAACAAUGAACCCAAACCAAAGUAUUGGUAUGAGACAUGAAAUACAAUCGAUAUUAUCUAUAUUUUUCAAUCAAACAUGCGGAAAUGGUCCACCUCUCUUUAAAAUCUAGAUCGAGAAUAGCUUCUUCCAUUCAAAUGGUGGCUUCUUCACUCACAUAAAAGUGGUCACAGUAGAUCUUGUCUUCUUAAUUAUUAAGAGUAAAAGAGUAAAAGUGCUCGUUACAAAAGACCACAUUGUUAUAAUUCUUAAAGGGGCCAUGACCACUUACCCAAUUUUAACCUCAAAAUUGUCCACUUACUCCACUAAGAGCUUUUUAUCCUCAUUCACCCAAUUUAACAUUUAAUGACAGUUUUGCCCUAUCAAUUAAACUGAAACUCAUCGAUCUCUCUCCUCUCUCACUCUCUUAAUUUCCUCCCAAACUCUCUCUCUUUCCCUCCCUCCCUCCUCCCCCUUCAGCACCGUCGUCGAGGCCCAAUCCGAGGCCAUCGUAAUCGCAUCGUCGUUGACACUCAAAUCGGUCCGACAUUAAGGCUCUCAAUCCGUCGUCGUGCAGCACGGUUUCGACUGAAACAAAGACUCCAACACAGUCGUCGAUGCACAAAUCAGAGGUCACGGAUGUGGCGACACCAUGUAAUUCCUUUUUGUCUACUCUCUAAGAGGAGCUUCUCUCUGUCGCCAUCGUUAGAGACUGGUAAGACCAAGAUUCAACCUAUUGAGUGAUUCUGAAGAGGAAGCACACAGUUGAGUGAAUCAUGCCUCUUGAUGCAGCUUGGAGAAAGUGAAAACUGAGAUCAUGAACAUGAUAUCUAACUUCUAAUGUACUAUAAAGGAGGAUCUUUAUUUUGAAAGUAGGAAUUUAACAUAGGGAUUUCGAAAGUAGGGAUUGUACAUUCUCCUAUGCAAUUUAUUCUUCAAUUACGAUGAAAUGAUACGA
Molecule: long non-coding RNA, 2563 nt
Organism: Rosa chinensis
Lineage: Eukaryota; Viridiplantae; Streptophyta; Magnoliopsida; Rosales; Rosaceae
Exons: 3
Source: RefSeq, a predicted model, not a curated record